RNAcentral lists this ribosomal RNA (253 nucleotides) under uncultured bacterium. RNAcentral's name for it is "partial 16S ribosomal RNA". It matches the Rfam family "Bacterial small subunit ribosomal RNA", at positions 524 to 776 of the family's 1533-position model. The record is from RNAcentral.
UACGUAGGGUGCAAGCGUUGUCCGGAAUUAUUGGGCGUAAAGAGCUCGUAGGCGGUCUGUCGCGUCGGCUGUGAAAACCCGGGGCUCAACCCCGGGCCUGCAGUCGAUACGGGCAGACUAGAGUGCGGUAGGGGAGACUGGAAUUCCUGGUGUAGCGGUGAAAUGCGCAGAUAUCAGGAGGGACACCGGUGGCGAAGGCGGGUCUCUGGGCCGUAACUGACGCUGAGGAGCGAAAGCGUGGGGAGCGAACAGG